This 473-nucleotide ribosomal RNA is filed under the name uncultured Acidovorax sp. Its description in RNAcentral is "bacterial SSU rRNA". It matches the Rfam family "Bacterial small subunit ribosomal RNA", at positions 907 to 1382 of the family's 1533-position model. The record is from RNAcentral. Lineage: Bacteria; Pseudomonadati; Pseudomonadota; Betaproteobacteria; Burkholderiales; Comamonadaceae.
AGAAUUGACGGGACCGCACAAGCGGUGGAUGAUGUGGUUUAAUUCGAUGCAACGACGAAAACCUUACCACCUUUGACAUGUACGGAAUCCUUUAGAGAUAGAGGAGUGCUCGAAAGAGAGCCGUAACACAGGUGCUGCAUGGCUGUCGUCAGCUCGUGUCGUGAGAUGUUGGGUUAAGUCCCGCAACGAGCGCAACCCUUGUCAUUAGUUGCUACAUUCAGUUGGGCACUCUAAUGAGACUGCCGGUGACAAACCGGAGGAAGGUGGGGAUGACGUCAAGUCCUCAUGGCCCUUAUAGGUGGGGCUACACACGUCAUACAAUGGAUGGUACAAAGGGUCGCCAACCCGCGAGGGGGAGCCAAUCCCAUAAAGCCAUUCGUAGUCCGGAUCGCAGUCUGCAACUCGACUGCGUGAAGUCGGAAUCGCUAGUAAUCGUGGAUCAGAAUGUCACGGUGAAUACGUUCCCGGGCCUU